UCAAGUGUCUUAAGAGCAUUCGGUGGAUGCCUUGGCGCUGAGAGGCGAUGAAGGACGUGGUACGCUGCGAUAAGCCUUGGGGAGCUGCGAACGAGCUUUGAUCCAGGGAUUUCCGAAUGGGGAAACCCACCUUCGACCUUCUGUAUUUUAGGUUCAGGCGCGAGCUUGGAUCUCAAAUACAGUUGGUCAUGUGAAGGUAUCAAAUCCUGAAUCCAUAGGGGUUUGAAGCGAACCCGGGGAACUGAAACAUCUAAGUACCCGGAGGAAAGGACAUCAACGAGACUCCGUCAGUAGUGGCGAGCGAACGCGGAUCAGGCCAGUGCCUGUGUGGAGUUUAUCGGAACGGUCUGGAAUGGCCGGCAAGAGUGGGUGACAGCCCCGUACGAGACGGACGACAUACAGGACUCGAGUAGGGCGGGACACGUGAAAUCCUGUCUGAACAUGGGGGGACCACCCUCCAAGCCUAAGUACUCCUCAGCGACCGAUAGCGAACAAGUACCGUGAGGGAAAGGUGAAAAGCACCCCGACGAGGGGAGUGAAACAGUUCCUGAAACCGGAUGCUUACAAACAGUGGGAGCUCAAGGUUCGUCCUGGGUGACCGCGUACCUUUUGUAUAAUGGGUCAGCGACUUAAAGUUACGAGCAAGCUUAAGCCGGUAGGUGUAGGCGCAGCGAAAGCGAGUCUGAACAGGGCGUUCAGUUCGUGGCUUUAGACCCGAAACCGAGUGAUCUAGCCAUGUGCAGGAUGAAGGUGGGGUAACACCCACUGGAGGUCCGAACCAGUGCCCGUUGAAAAGGUCUUGGAUGACGUGUGGCUAGGGGUGAAAGGCCAAUCAAACUCGGAAAUAGCUGGUUCUCCGCGAAAGCUAUUUAGGUAGCGCCUCGCGUGAAUACCCCAGGGGGUAGAGCACUGGAUGGGCUAGGGCCGCCCACAGCGGUACCGCACUCAACCAAACUCCGAAUACCUGGGAGUACUGCGCGGGAGACACACGGCGGGUGCUAACGUCCGUCGUGAAGAGGGAAACAACCCUGACCUACAGCUAAGGCCCCCAAUUCGUGGCUAAGUGGGAAAGGAUGUGGGAAUCCCAAAACAACCAGGAGGUUGGCUUAGAAGCAGCCAUCCUUUAAAGAAAGCGUAACAGCUCACUGGUCUAAACAAGGGUUCCUGCGCCGAAAAUGUAACGGGGCUCAAGCCACGAGCCGAAGCUUAGGGUGUGAUCCGCAAGGGUCACGCGGUAGCGGAGCGUUCUCUAGGCCUGUGAAGCGGUACCUGUGAGGGGCCGUGGAGGUAUGAGAAGUGCGAAUGCUGACAUGAGUAACGACAAAGAGUGUGAAAGACACUCUCGCCGAAAGUCCAAGGGUUCCUGCGUAAAGUUAAUCUGCGCAGGGUUAGCCGGCCCCUAAGGCGAGGCCGAAAGGCGUAGUCGAUGGGAACAGGGUGAAUAUUCCCUGGCCAGCGGGUGGUGACGGAUGCCGUAUAUCGUUUGGUCUUAACGGAUUGACCAGGCGGUGAAGGGGUCCCAGGAAAUAGCCCCCGCGUGAGACCGUACCCUAAACCGACACAGGUGGACAGGUAGAGUAUACCAAGGCGCUUGAGAGAACUAUGCUGAAGGAACUCGGCAAUUUGCCUCCGUAACUUCGGGAUAAGGAGGCCUGACUUUUACGCAAGUGAGAGUCAGGGGCACAGACCAGGGGGUGGCGACUGUUUAUCUAAAACACAGGGCUCUGCGAAGUCUGUAAGACGACGUAUAGGGCCUGACGCCUGCCCGGUGCCGGAAGGUUAAGAGGAGAGGUGAGAGCUUUGAAUCGAAGCCCCGGUAAACGGCGGCCGUAACUAUAACGGUCCUAAGGUAGCGAAAUUCCUUGUCGGGUAAGUUCCGACCUGCACGAAUGGCGUAACGAUC
Molecule: ribosomal RNA, 1903 nt
Filed under: terrestrial metagenome
Description: bacterial LSU rRNA
Rfam family: Bacterial large subunit ribosomal RNA
Source: RNAcentral